This is a long non-coding RNA of Paramisgurnus dabryanus, 1197 nucleotides long. RefSeq lists it as uncharacterized. Lineage: Eukaryota; Metazoa; Chordata; Actinopteri; Cypriniformes; Cobitidae. The record is from RefSeq and is a predicted model, not a curated record.
AAAAUUUCUGUAAAUUUACAUGAAAAUUCAACAGCAAAAUGCUGUUUUCGUGUAAUAACAGUAAGUUGCUGUUUUUUACAGUGCAUUGUGGGUAGACUUGCUCACUUCAGGUCGGUUGUCGAGCAACAACAGAAUGUCACUGUUAUUUAACAGUAUUAUAGCAUAUUUUUCGUUGUGCACGCCAUUUUGGAUUGUCUGCAUGAGGUAGGUCUGCAACUUUAUCGAUGCUUAUGCUAUUUUAAAAUUACAUAUUACUUUUGAAUAUUGCAUUUUAUCCAGUGAAGCUUUAAAACAACAAAAUCAGAUUCCAUUUCCUAUUUUAAUCAGGCAAAGCGGGUAUUCUACCAUCACAUCAGUUACACUCACAUCAGAUCACAGGGUUAUUUUGGUGCUUUGGUGCUAUUUUGGUCCCUAUUCCCUGCAUUGUAUAGACAAACAAAUAUUACAUAUAUUAUUAAGAUGUGUGCCACUCCUGCUGACUUUGAGGAGACUAGUAACUUGUGACACCUCGUUUGAUACUGUUUGGUGAUACUCGGGACAAUGGAUUAAACAAUGGAUUAUCAGCCUGAAAGCCAAAAGAAUCUGCAAGGGUGUUCAGCCAACGUGUCUCACUGGACUUACUGCAUUGUGUAUUACAUCUCAACUUGCAAAAGUGAAAGCAGCAUCCACACUGGAAGUCCUUCAAAGACGCUUCAUUAAAAUCAAACCAGAAAAGGGAACCAAGGCUGCAAAGGGAAAAGUGACCUCUAAAACAAGAAAACUGCAAAAGAAGACCAUCAACAGUCAGUCUCAAACUAUCAAAUCUUUUAAAAAGACUUAUGGACUUUGAGUGGUACUUCAUUUAAAAUGUAGCUGACACUUCCCACCAAUACAGCUUUUUUUUAAAUAUGGUGGGCUGCAGCCUGCAGUGAUGGCAGGUGACUUCUCUGAGGGGGCACGAAUGCAAAGCUAGCCAAAACAUUGUCAUGUGUGUGGCUCCUCAUUUCAAAAUGUGUGUUCGGUGCGUCAUGUGAACCUGUGCAUCGCGUGCCAUUUCAAAAUACGUGCCUGCUCCAGACACUUUGAAGGGGAUUAUGAUAAAAUGCUCGCUUUUGCCAGAUAAUCUCAUGUGUAAACAGAGUUUAGUGUUAAAUGAGUGUCUUGCGAAUCAUGUGUCAUGGGAAUGUCUCUUUUAUUCUUUAUCAUAUUCAAAGCGUU